Molecule: long non-coding RNA, 2042 nt
Filed under: Marmota monax (woodchuck)
Lineage: Eukaryota; Metazoa; Chordata; Mammalia; Rodentia; Sciuridae
Source: RNAcentral
CUUAGCCUCCGGUGCUGCUGGGAUGACAGGCAUGUACCAUGGCACUUGGUAUUGCUUACACAUCUAGAACCCAGGCAGGGGUGGCUGACAGGCUAGAUUCGUCCAGUCCUAUCCAGCAGAAUGGUCUUUCCAGCACACAGGCUAAGAGGAUGGAACUUGUCACACAAUGACUCGGGACUCCAAUAGCAAAUAAAUGGUCCAGCUGACAGGAAGAAACAUACCCUUUUAUGACCAGCCUCAGAGGUUACAUGGAAGUACUUUGGUCAUCUUCCUCUGGCUGAAAUAGUCACAAAUCCUACCCAAAUUCAAGGGGAGAGGACACAGACCUCACCAAUGGAAGGAGUGUCCAAAAAUCGAAGUAUGUUUUAAAAGCAUGGUAACUGGGCCAGGAGUGCAGCUCAGAGUAGAGUGCUUCCCUGGCGUGGGAAGGCCCCGGAUUCCAUGCCCAACGCCAAACAAACUAAACUAGAACACAAGCAUCAUAAUGGCCCAGCUGUUCCGGUUUCCCACAGUCCUCCACGCCCCCUGCCCCUUUCUUCCAUGCUCCUCGUCUGCUGGUAGCCACACUCGCCCUGGUGAGGCAGCCAGCGCUCACCUCCUCUCCCAGAAAGGAUCUAAAACACUCAUUUAUCGAACGUGUCAAGGUUCUUCACAUGUUGCUCCCCUGAGGCGCAUUUUCACUUUAAAAUGGUGGCCCCAGAAUGGCGCAGCAUAACCAAAGGAAUGCAUCCCUAAUGGUGGAAUUCCAGGCAUUUACCACAGGCCAAAAGGGGCUAUAUUUUUCGGCCAAGGGACUUUCCUGUUGCAGACAGCUGCUUGUUCCUUUUCCCCUGAAACUGUAAACACUGAACUGCAGCCACCAGGGCUCUCUCUAAAAACAGCCUGGACAGCAGCUUCUGUCCAGUGGUUCUCCAACUGUCCCUGAGAGUCAGUCCUCAGAUGACACAGAAGGGGAGGGGGUGAUGUGGUGGCCAAAAUUUGUUUGAAAUUUAAAAUAUUGCUGUAGCGGUUCCUUGGAACUCUCUAUUUUUCUCUUUAUCGUAUUCCUCAAAACUCACAGACCUGGAUGUUAGAAAUGGGGAAUGUAGGAUAACACCUUGUUCUAGGAUAAUGCUUAUUUCAUCACACACACACACACACACACACACACACACACACACACACGAGCCACCUAUUGAUUCUGGCUCUCUUCCUUCCGCCUAUAGUUCUGAUGCAAAUCAAAUUCAGUCCAAGGCUGAUUUCAAAUAGGUGAGGAGUCUUCUCUGAGCAUGGCCAAGGGUGACUGCUUUUGAAGGACGAGGGGCUCCAGGUCCCACCUCCAAACAAAACUUGUCUAGUCCCUAGAACUCCCAGACCCUGUGGCCACAAGGGGGUCUCCAGGACCUCUUUUCCUAGACCAAAUGCUUCUAGGAAUCUUUUUCUCAAGCCAUAUAAAAGCCAGGUGUCGGUUCAGCUGGGCUUUACUUUGCAAACAGUGCUGGUGUUUGGUUAAGAGUUAUUUAUGGAUCUUUAUGCACAAAGCCUGUUGCUAGGAGCAGGAAACCUCGGGCCUGGCCUCAGCUCCGCUGUGACUUGCUAUGGGAUCCUGGGCAUGUCCUCUCUCUCUCUCUCUCUCUCUCUCUGGGUUUCUGUCUCUUCAUGUAGAAACUAAGGGGUUGUGUUAUUUGAUCUCUAAGAUCCUGUGAGACCUGACAUCUUGUGAUUCUUCAAUAAAUCAGAAAGUGGAGUCAGUAACCAGCCAGGUGGUGUAAUCUUGGCAACUUAGGAGGCUGAGGCAGGAGGAUUGCAAGUUUGAGGCCAGCCUCAGCAAUGUAGCAAGAUCCUGCCUCAAAAUAAAAUAAAAUAAAGGGCUGGGCGUGUAGCUGAGUGGUAGAGCACUAGUAUGCAUGAGGAUCUGGGUUCCAUCUCCAGCCCUGUAAAAAAAAUGAUGAAAGGUGCUGAGAUCCACGGCCGAGUCUGUAUGGCCCCUGGCAUUUUGCCAACAGUAUUGAUUGACAGGCGAGGCAUUACUAUCCGCCUCUGCCGCUACUUUUGAGUUCUCG